This 421-nucleotide ribosomal RNA is filed under the name uncultured Anaerosporobacter sp. RNAcentral's name for it is "partial 16S ribosomal RNA". It matches the Rfam family "Bacterial small subunit ribosomal RNA", at positions 341 to 778 of the family's 1533-position model. The record is from RNAcentral. Lineage: Bacteria; Bacillati; Bacillota; Clostridia; Lachnospirales; Lachnospiraceae.
ACGGAAGGCAGCAGUGGGGGAUAUUGCACAAUGGGGGAAACCCUGAUGCAGCGACGCCGCGUGAGUGAAGAAGUAUUUCGGUAUGUAAAGCUCUAUCAGCAGGAAAGAUAAUGACGGUACCUGACUAAGAAGCCCCGGCUAACUACGUGCCAGCAGCCGCGGUAAUACGUAGGGGGCAAGCGUUAUCCGGAUUUACUGGGUGUAAAGGGAGUGUAGGUGGUUUGGCAAGCCAGAUGUGAAAGCCCGGGGCUCAACCCCGCUGACUGCAUUUGGAAGUGUUAAACUUGAGUGCAGGAGAGGAAAGUGGAAUUCCUAGUGUAGCGGUGAAAUGCGUAGAUAUUAGGAGGAACACCAGUGGCGAAGGUGGCUUUCUGGACUGUAACUGACACUGAGGCUCGAAAGCGUGGGGAGCAAACAGGAU